Molecule: ribosomal RNA, 253 nt
Filed under: uncultured bacterium
Lineage: Bacteria
Description: partial 16S ribosomal RNA
Rfam family: Bacterial small subunit ribosomal RNA
Source: RNAcentral
UACGAAGGGGGCUCGCGUUGCUCGGACUCACUGGGCGUAACGGGUGCGUAGGCGGGUCUUUAAGUCAGGGGUGAAAUCCUGGAGCUCAACUCCAGAACUGCCUUUGAUACUGAGGAUCUUGAGUUCGGGAGAGGUGAGUGGAACUGCGAGUGUAGAGGUGAAAUUCGUAGAUAUUCGCAAGAACACCAGUGGCGAAGGCGGCUCACUGGCCCGAUACUGACGCUGAGGCACGAAAGCGUGGGGAGCAAACAGG